Molecule: ribosomal RNA, 275 nt
Filed under: uncultured bacterium
Lineage: Bacteria
Description: partial 16S ribosomal RNA
Rfam family: Bacterial small subunit ribosomal RNA
Source: RNAcentral
AGACGAGGGCCCCGAGCGUUAUCCGGAUUUACUGGGCGUAAAGCGUGCGCAGGCGGCCAAAUAAGUCCUUGGUUAAAUCAUGGGGCUCAACUCCAUGACUGCCAAGGAUACUGUUUGGCUUGAGGCCGGGAGAGGCGAGUGGAAUUGCUGGUGGAGGGGUUAAAUCCGUUGAUAUCAGCAAGAACACCGAAUGCGAAGGCAGCUCGCUAGAACGGUCCUGACGCUGAGGCACGAAAGCGUGGGGAGCGAAGAGGAUUAGAAACCCUAGUAGUCCC